Long non-coding RNA from Bombus pyrosoma, 516 nucleotides. RefSeq lists it as uncharacterized. NCBI's taxonomy places the organism in Eukaryota, Metazoa, Arthropoda, Insecta, Hymenoptera, Apidae. The transcript is spliced from 4 exons. The record is from RefSeq and is a predicted model, not a curated record.
UAUAAUUCAAUCGUGUAAUUCAAUUGCGUAAUUCAAUUUCGUGAAUAUUCGCAAUUGUCGAGCGUUUUCCACGAAGACAUUAAUGAGUUUAAGCAUUUUUCGUCGAAUUUAAGUUUGUGAGAAGUGAUAUUUUAUAUAUUGUUAAGGCUAUGUAGUCAUCAGAUUCGCCAGAAUGAUUCGUUUUGAAUUUGAUUAACCUUCAAACGGCUCAUGUAUGCAGAUUACUCGGAGAUACGUGUUCCGUUACGUGGAAUCUUGCUGCGAUUGAGUAUCGAGACAAGAGGAAGAAGGAGAGAGGGUUGGUCAUUGAUCGCGUGAUCAUGUUACCGAAAAUUGAAUGGCGAUGAAGCGUGACAGCAUUCGCGUGGGAUUCCCUGGCAAGGUAUCAGCGUGCGCAAUUAAACGUAUUCCAUAGAUAUACAAAUUUAUUCUUGGAAGGGAGGAUGAGGUGGAAGGGCAGGAAAAUUAUAGCCAGAUUCAGGCGUGGAAACGAGACCAAAGCGAAGGAAUACUGGA